This 194-nucleotide unclassified non-coding RNA is filed under the name uncultured fungus. RNAcentral describes it as "sequence contains ITS1, 5.8S rRNA gene". The record is from RNAcentral. Lineage: Eukaryota; Fungi.
ACGAGUUAGGGUCCCCUGGGCCCGACCUCCCAACCCAUUGUUUACCAAACCAUUUGUUGCUUCGGCGAGCCCGUCUUCACGGACCGCCGGGGGACCGUCACAGGUCUCCUGGCCCGCGCUCGUCGGUAGCCCCCAACCUCAAAACUCUUAAUUAAACGUGUCUUGACUAAGUACCAAUUUUUUAAUUAAAAGCA